GGGGGUAUAGCUCAGUUGGUAGAGCGUUUGAAUGGCAUUCAAAAGGUCAGCGGUUCGAUCCCGCUUACCUCCACCA
Molecule: transfer RNA, 76 nt
Filed under: Alphaproteobacteria bacterium
Lineage: Bacteria; Pseudomonadati; Pseudomonadota; Alphaproteobacteria
Description: tRNA-Ala
Rfam family: tRNA
About the family: Transfer RNA (tRNA) molecules are approximately 80 nucleotides in length. Their secondary structure includes four short double-helical elements and three loops (D, anti-codon, and T loops).
Source: RNAcentral